RNAcentral lists this long non-coding RNA (225 nucleotides) under Lathyrus oleraceus (garden pea). RNAcentral describes it as "Pisum sativum (pea) long non-coding RNA (PSAT_LNC038657)". The record is from RNAcentral. Lineage: Eukaryota; Viridiplantae; Streptophyta; Magnoliopsida; Fabales; Fabaceae.
AAAACAGAAUUUCUUCACCUGGCAUUUUCUGCCAAUUUGCAAAAGAACUCGUGCAUUGGUUCUUACCUCAUCAUUUACCACCACUUUGCAAGCAAUUUUGAGCAUCAUUUUCUUAACUGGGAGCAAAAGAAUCGCAGCUGCUACAUCAAAGUUCAUCAAUGGCAGAUUGGGAUUGAAGCCAUUUCAAGCUGUUUCAAACCAAGCUUUCUCCAUCAUCCAUCAUUU